UACGUAGGGGGCGAGCGUUGUCCGAAGUUACUGGGCGUAAAGCGCGCGUAGGCGGGGGGUUAAGUGAGAGGUGAAAGGCUGGGGCUCAACCUCAUGCAGUGCCUCUCAUACUGGCCUUCUUGAGGGCGGUAGGGAGAAGUGGAAUGGCUGGUGUAGCGGUGAAAUGCGUAGAUAUCAGUCGGAACACCGGUGGCGAAGGCGGCUUCUUGUGCCGUUCCUGACGCUGAUGCGCGAAAGCUGGGGGAGCGAACGGG
Molecule: ribosomal RNA, 254 nt
Filed under: uncultured bacterium
Lineage: Bacteria
Description: partial 16S ribosomal RNA
Rfam family: Bacterial small subunit ribosomal RNA
Source: RNAcentral